Molecule: unclassified non-coding RNA, 356 nt
Filed under: uncultured fungus
Lineage: Eukaryota; Fungi
Description: partial contains small subunit ribosomal RNA, internal transcribed spacer 1, and 5.8S ribosomal RNA
Rfam family: Eukaryotic small subunit ribosomal RNA (bases 1-73)
Source: RNAcentral
UCAAACUUGGUCAUUUAGAGGAAGUAAAAGUCGUAACAAGGUUUCCGUAGGUGAACCUGCGGAAGGAUCAUUAACGUGUAUCCGGCGGGCGUCGGCGCGCCCCGCUCUGGCCGCGAGGCCGUGCAGCGGGCGUCCGGACCCGCCGACCCUUUUCUCAAAACCCCACGUGCACAUUCACGGUGGAGGGCUCUCGCCGCCCCGCCUCUUUUCUGGUGGGGGGCUUGUCUGUCUGAAGCCGCUUUGCAAAAGAACACCCAGUGUCGAUCGUAUGUGAUGCGGCCUCCGUGUCGCCCAUUUGAAACAGUACAACUUUCAACAACGGAUCUCUUGGCUCUCGCAUCGAUGAAGAACGCAGC